Molecule: ribosomal RNA, 265 nt
Filed under: uncultured bacterium
Lineage: Bacteria
Description: partial 16S ribosomal RNA
Rfam family: Bacterial small subunit ribosomal RNA
Source: RNAcentral
GUCCACGCCGUAAACGAUGAAUGCUAGGUGUUAGGGGUUUCGAUACCCUUGGUGCCGAAGUUAACACAUUAAGCAUUCCGCCUGGGGGAGUACGGCCGCAAGGCUGAAACUCAAAGGAAUUGACGGGGACCCGCACAAGCAGUGGAGUAUGUGGUUUAAUUCGAAGCAACGCGAAGAACCUUACCAGGUCUUGACAUCCCCCUGACCGGUACAGAGAUGUACCUUUCCUUCGGGACAGGGGAGACAGGUGGUGCAUGGUUGUCGU